This 300-nucleotide ribosomal RNA is filed under the name Triticum aestivum (bread wheat). RNAcentral's name for it is "partial small subunit ribosomal RNA". The record is from RNAcentral. Lineage: Eukaryota; Viridiplantae; Streptophyta; Magnoliopsida; Poales; Poaceae.
AUGCAACGACGAGUGAAUGAAGUCAAACAAUGCAAAGAUCAUGGUGCAGUUUUGCAUGAGAACACCGUCUGGCUGCAUAUUGGCUGUAGGUGCGAUGAUACAGCCAAGGUCACAAUAUUCGUGACAUUCCUAUGUGGCCCAGUGUAUAUGUUGUUCUGCGGACAAAGUUCCAAAGAUAUAACGAUACAGCAAAGCAGACACAUGUAUCAUAUACUCCCUCCGCCCGAAAAAGUUUGUCCCAUGCUUGUCCCUCAAAUGGAUAUAUCUAGCACUAACUUGGUGCUAGAUACAACCAUUUGA